RNAcentral lists this long non-coding RNA (1050 nucleotides) under Chrysolophus pictus (golden pheasant). RNAcentral's name for it is "lncRNA (ENSCPIG00010009673.1)". Lineage: Eukaryota; Metazoa; Chordata; Aves; Galliformes; Phasianidae. The record is from RNAcentral.
CGGGCAGCCGGGGGGGCCCGGAGCUGCGGGAGGAUCGGAGCAACCCGCCCCCCCCCCCCCCCCCGGUCCACAACAGCGGAGCCCCGCGGGCGACGCCGACAAACGGCCGCUUCUGCUUUUGCUCCCCUCGUUUUUUAGUUUUUCUCCCUUCGUUUUCAUCCCCUUUUUAAUUUUUUUGGUUCUCUUUUUGCUUUUUCUCUUUUUCCCCUCUAUUUUCCCCCUUUUUCACAGUUCGUCUUCUUUUUUUUUUUUCCCCUAUCUUUUCUUUUCUUUUUUUUCCUCCUAUUUUAUUCCCAGCUAUUUUUUUCCUCAUCUCAAUUUUUUUUAUUUUCUUCUCUUUCGUCUAUUUUUUCUCUUUUUUCUUUUUUUUCUCUUUCUCUUUUUUCUCUUUUUUUCUCUUUUUCUCUUUUCUCUUUAUUCUCUUUUUAUUUUUUCUCUUUCUAUUUUUUCUUUUUUUUCUUUCUAUUUUUUCUCUUUAUUGUUUCUCUUUUUUUCCUCUCCUCCUUUUUUCCUCUUUAUUUAUUUAUGUUUUUAUUUUUUCCUCCUUUUUCUGCUCUAUUUCUCUCUUUAUUUUUUUUAUUUCCAUUUUUCUCCUUCUUUCUUUUUUUUAUUUCUUCUUUUCUUUCUUUUUCCCCCCUCAUUUAUUUUUCUCUUUUUAUUUUAUCCACUUCUUAUUUUUUCUCUUUCUCCUCUUUUUAUUUUUUCUCUUUUUAAAUUCUCUCUUCUUUCACUUUUUCCCCUUUCCCUCCCUUUUUAUUUUUCCCCUUUCCCCCCUUUUUAAUUUUUCUCUUUCUCAUUUUUCCCCACUUCCUAUUUUUUUCUCCUUAUUUUUUUCCUCCUCUUAAUUGUUCUCUUUUCACUUCCACUUUCCCCCUUUUUCAUUCAUAUUUUCCUCCACUUUCCCCUUUCCCCUCCCUCUUUUUAUUCCAACUGGCAUUUAUUUAUUUACCCCCCCGCCCCCUUUUUUUUUUUUAAAAAAAAUCUUUUAUAUCUUUAUUUACUCCCAUUACUCCGCACAUCUUCCCGCACGGAUCCUGCAUCCUACAAACC